This 381-nucleotide ribosomal RNA is filed under the name uncultured marine Chaetocerotaceae. RNAcentral describes it as "SSU rRNA". It matches the Rfam family "Eukaryotic small subunit ribosomal RNA", at positions 587 to 972 of the family's 1831-position model. Lineage: Eukaryota; Bacillariophyta; Thalassiosirophyceae; Chaetocerotales; Chaetocerotaceae. The record is from RNAcentral.
AGCUCCAAUAGCGUAUAUUAAAGUUGCUGCAGUUAAAAAGCUCGUAGUUGCAUUUCCGAGGCAAGGGAUUAGUCCGACCUUUGGUGGGUAUUUAAUCCUCUUGCCUCGUCCUUGAGUGGUGCUUCUUGGUAUUAAGUUAUCGAGGAGAUAGCCGCUCAUCGUUUACUGUGAGAAAAUUAGAGUGUUCAAAGCAGGCUUAUGCCGUUGAAUAUAUUAGCAUGGAAUAAUAAGAUAGGACCUCGGUACUAUUUUGUUGGUUUGAGAACCAAGGUAAUGAUGAAUAGGGACAGUUGGGGGUAUUCGUAUUCAGUUGUCAGAGGUGAAAUUCUUGGACCGUUUGAAGACUAACUACUGCGAAAGCAUUUGCCAAGAGUGUUUUCA